This 444-nucleotide ribosomal RNA is filed under the name uncultured bacterium. Its description in RNAcentral is "partial 16S ribosomal RNA". It matches the Rfam family "Bacterial small subunit ribosomal RNA", at positions 339 to 795 of the family's 1533-position model. The record is from RNAcentral.
CUACGGGACGCUGCAGUGGGGAAUAUUGCACAAUGGGCGCAAGCCUGAUGCAGCAACGCCGCGUGAGGGAUGAAGGCCUUCGGGUUGUAAACCUCUUUUAGCAGGGAAGAAGCGAAAGUGACGGUACCUGCAGAAAAAGUACCGGCUAACUACGUGCCAGCAGCCGGGGUAAUACGUAGGGUGCAAGCGUUGUCCGGAAUUAUUGGGCGUAAAGAGCUCGUAGGCGGUUUGUCACGUCUGCUGUGAAAAUCCAAGGCUCAACCUUGGACUUGCAGUGGGUACGGGCAGGCUAGAGUGCGGUAGGGGAGAUGGGAAUUCCUGGUGUAGCGGUGGAAUGCGCAGAUAUCAGGGGGAACACCAAUGGCGAAGGCACAUCUCUGGGCCGUAACUGACGCUGAGGAGCGAAAGCGUGGGGAGCGAACAGGAUUAGAUACCCCCGUAGUC